Molecule: non-coding RNA, 343 nt
Filed under: Georgenia sp. SUBG003
Lineage: Bacteria; Bacillati; Actinomycetota; Actinomycetes; Allobogoriellales; Allobogoriellaceae
Description: bacterial LSU rRNA
Rfam family: Bacterial large subunit ribosomal RNA
Source: RNAcentral
AAGACGAUGUAUACGGACUGACGCCUGCCCGGUGCUGGAAGGUUAAGAGGACGGGUCAGCCGCGAGGCGAAGCUCAGAAUUUAAGCCCCAGUAAACGGCGGUGGUAACUAUAACCAUCCUAAGGUAGCGAAAUUCCUUGUCGGGUAAGUUCCGACCUGCACGAAUGGCGUAACGACUUCUCCGCUGUCUCGACCGCGAACUCGGCGAAAUUUGCACUACGAGUAAAGAUGCUCGUUUUCGCGCAGCAGGGACGGGAAAGACCCCCGGGGACCUUUACUAUAGCUUGGUAUUGGUGUUCGGUACGGCUUGUGUAGGAUAGGUGGGAGACCGUGAAGCCGCCACG